ACUUAGCCAGUAAAACAGCAACAACAAAGAGCAUUAAAAGAAAAUAAGUAACCGGAAGUAUAGACUAGCUUCAUUAUUUUAUUUUGCUUUUUUAUGUAUUUUAACCACAGAAAUGGAGGAAGAUCAGUUUGUGAAUGAAGAACAGUUCUUUAGAACAAUGCAUUGAGGUGAUUUUUCUUCUUUCAGUGUGAAUCUGAGAAAACACCAGCAUUAACACCACACUAAAAGCCAGCAUUUAGGAAACCCCCCUGCAUUAAAGCAUAUAUCCAUGUAAUUGUGAAGCGUAUUAUCUCCUUUUGUUUUGUGAACUCAGAUUUUCAUAUUAUGGUUUUACUUAAGCAAAAUUUAGCUGCAUUUAAAAGAAUCACUCUCUACUGUCUCCCUUUAGGUUGUUAACCACAAAGACCCAGAAAAAUUCUUAAAAAUGAAUUUGUCUGCCACUGCCAUAAAAAAUUCUACUGCUCAUUUAUUUAUUCAUUUAUUUAAGAAAUAUUUAUUUAAUGGCUGCCAUAUAUCGGAUGGUAAGGUAAAUAAGACAGAUGAGACCUACCAUCACAUAAUAUAUAGUCCUUCCUCCCUCCCCCAUCCCCAAAACUUGGAAACGACAGGUCCACGCUGGAUUUGGCAAUAACUUUUUUAUACACUGUAGUCCAGAAAUCAGAGCUUUUCCUUCCUAGAAAAUCAACAUCCUCAAAAUGCCUAUGAAAUACCCUCUAAAGCAGCAGUAGGCCCCUAGUCCAGUCGUGUUCCCUGCCCUGCAAAUAGCAAAUGAACUUUCAGGAUAUUCCUUUUUCUGUCAACUGCCACCUGAUCCAGCAGAGAAAGGAGCGCGGGACUAGGAACCAACUAGAUGUUACAUGCCUGCCAGUUGGUAUUCCCACUUAUGCUGACCGUGUCCUGACACAGGAGAAUUGUGGCCCCAUUUCCAUUUAUUUGCAGGGAGCACGUGCAGUCAGAGAAGCCAGGAGGCUGAGUGGACCAGCCUCUUUUCUACAUCCCAGUCUAGAGAUGGGCAGUACAGACUGUGAGAAGCCAGUGAAAGGCAAUAGCUUCUUCUUGGCCAUGAAUUUCCAGGUAUCCAGGAUACCAAGCCACACUAAUCACUGCAUCAUACCUAGUGAUUUGAUUCUGCAGAUAUUGCUUAUUAAAACAGCUGACAGCCAACCAAUUUAUUUGGAAAGAUCUGCUCAUUGGCUUUAAACAGCAAAGGCUGUGUUAGGGGAAGAUGCACAUUCUUCAAAUUGGAAGGGAAAGAUCUGUAGAUAUUAUCACGUCCUUGAAAAGAAGGGCUCAAUCUACUUUCUUCCUUGUCUCCACCAGGCAACUAAUUUCUGGCUGGUAACCUCCAUUGGAUGAAGCUAACUGGAAGCCAGAAGGCAAGGAAGCCCAUUAAUGGAUCCCAUAAAGGGUUUCCCUGGUGCCUCGGUGGUAAAGAAUCCACCUGCCAAUGCAGGAGAUGCAGAUUUGAUUCCUGGUCCCGGAAGAUCCCACGUGCCACAGAGGAACUAAGUCCAUGCGCCAAAACUAUUGAGCUUGUGCUCUAGAGCCCGGGAGCACAACUCAGUGAGCCCCAGAGCCUGUGCUCUGAAACAAGAGGAGCCACCACAGUGAGAAGCCCACGCAGCACAACUAAAUAAAAUUAUUUUGAAAACCUAUCAUGUAGACAAACAGUGAUUGCAUUACCUAUACACUAAAGUUUUAAACUAUGAAAGAAAAUAGCACCGUGGUUAAGCAUGCCUGCGCUGGAAUCAGAGCACCUGGAUUCUAAAGCAAAUUCUGCAAUGUAUCAAUUUUUGUUGUUGUUCAGUCACCUAGUUGUGUCUGACUCUUCGAGACCCCAUGGACUGCCGCAUGCCAGGCUUUUUUGUCCCUCACCAUCUCCUGGAGCGUGCCCAAGUUCAUGUCUGUUGUAUCAAUAAAUGUACCAUUUAUUUUCA
Molecule: long non-coding RNA, 1937 nt
Organism: Bubalus bubalis (water buffalo)
Lineage: Eukaryota; Metazoa; Chordata; Mammalia; Artiodactyla; Bovidae
Exons: 3
Source: RefSeq, a predicted model, not a curated record